CAGGGGUACUCGAGUGGCGAACGGGUGAGUAACACGUGGGUGAUCUGCCCUUCACUUCGGGAUAAGCCUGGGAAACUGGGUCUAAUACCGGAUAGGACCAAUCUUUAGUGUGGUUGGUGGAAAGUUUUGUCGGUGGAGGAUGAGCCCGCGGCCUAUCAGCUUGUUGGUGGGGUAAUGGCCUACCAAGGCGACGACGGGUAGCCGGCCUGAGAGGGUGGACGGCCACAUUGGGACUGAGACACGGCCCAG
This 249-nucleotide ribosomal RNA is filed under the name uncultured Actinomycetales bacterium. Its description in RNAcentral is "partial 16S ribosomal RNA". It matches the Rfam family "Bacterial small subunit ribosomal RNA", at positions 81 to 334 of the family's 1533-position model. The record is from RNAcentral. Lineage: Bacteria; Bacillati; Actinomycetota; Actinomycetes; Actinomycetales.